This 432-nucleotide ribosomal RNA is filed under the name uncultured bacterium. RNAcentral describes it as "partial 16S ribosomal RNA". It matches the Rfam family "Bacterial small subunit ribosomal RNA", at positions 338 to 795 of the family's 1533-position model. The record is from RNAcentral.
CCUACGGGAGGCAGCAGUGGGGAAUAUUGGACAAUGGGGGCAACCCUGAUCCAGCAAUGCCGCGUGUGUGAAGAAGGCCUUCGGGUUGUAAAGCACUUUUAUCCGGAACGCGGUACCGGAGGAAUAAGCACCGGCUAACUUCGUGCCAGCAGCCGCGGUAAUACGAAGGGUGCAAGCGUUACUCGGAAUUACUGGGCGUAAAGGGUGCGUAGGUGGUUGCUUAAGUCUGUUGUGAAAGCCCCGGGCUCAACCUGGGAAUGGCAAUGGAUACUGGGCAGCUAGAGUGCGGUAGAGGGUAGUGGAAUUCCCGGUGUAGCAGUGAAAUGCGUAGAGAUCGGGAGGAACACCAGUGGCGAAGGCGGCUACCUGGACCAGACUGACACUGAAGCACGAAAGCGUGGGGAGCAAACAGGAUUAGAUACCCUUGUAGUC